ACGAGAGCGCGUUCGGCGCUGUGAUUGGCCGGCUCUAAUGAACCAACCAAUCACAACGCUGAACGCGCUUUCGU
RNAcentral lists this microRNA precursor (74 nucleotides) under Spodoptera frugiperda (fall armyworm). RNAcentral's name for it is "microRNA sfr-mir-10492c precursor". Lineage: Eukaryota; Metazoa; Arthropoda; Insecta; Lepidoptera; Noctuidae. The record is from miRBase by way of RNAcentral.